GAACGAGAAAGUGGAGCAAUCCAUGAGUACAGUGGCGACCGGGUGAGUAACACGUGACUAACCUACCCUCGAGUGGGGGAUAACUCCGGGAAACCGGAGCUAAUACCGCAUAACAUCGAAAGAUCAAAGCAGCAAUGCGCUUGAAGAGGGGGUCGCGGCUGAUUAGCUAGUUGGCGGGGUAACGGCCCACCAAGGCGAAGAUCGGUAUCCGGCCUGAGAGGGCGCACGGACACACUGGAACUGAAACACGGUCCAGACUCCUACGGGAGGCAGCAGUGGGGAAUUUUGCGCAAUGGGGGAAACCCUGACGCAGCAACGCCGCGUGGAGGAUGAAGCCCCUUGGGGCGUAAACUCCUUUCGACCAAGACGAUAAUGACGGUACUGGUGGAAGAAGCACCGGCUAACUCUGUG
Molecule: ribosomal RNA, 411 nt
Filed under: uncultured bacterium
Lineage: Bacteria
Description: bacterial SSU rRNA
Rfam family: Bacterial small subunit ribosomal RNA
Source: RNAcentral